This 488-nucleotide ribosomal RNA is filed under the name uncultured bacterium. RNAcentral's name for it is "partial 16S ribosomal RNA". It matches the Rfam family "Bacterial small subunit ribosomal RNA", at positions 28 to 507 of the family's 1533-position model. The record is from RNAcentral.
GACGAACGCUGGCGGCGUGCUUAACACAUGCAAGUCGAACGGAAAGGCCCUGCUUUUGUGGGGUGCACGAUAGGCGCACAGGGGAGUAACACGUGAGUAACAUGCACUUGUCUUUGGGGUAACUUCAGGAAAAUGGGGCUAAUACCGGGUAGGAACUCCUGAUGCCAGGGGUGGGUUGGAAAAGAUCGGUGGUCGGGGACGGACCCGCGGCUUAGCGGCGUGUUGGUGGGGUGGCGGCUUACCAAGGUAACGAUGGGUAGCCGGCCUGACAAGGUGAUCGGCCACACUGGAACUGAGACACGGUCCAGACUCCUACGGGCGGCAGCAGUGGGGACCCUUCCGCAAUGGGCGCAAGCCUGACGGAGCACCGCCGCGUGAGUGAUGAAGGUCUUCGGAUCGGAAAACUCUGUUAUUAGGGAAGAACAAAUGUGUAAGUAACUAUGCACGUCUUGACGGUACCUAAUCAGAAAGCCACGGCUAACUACGUG